This 253-nucleotide ribosomal RNA is filed under the name uncultured bacterium. Its description in RNAcentral is "partial 16S ribosomal RNA". It matches the Rfam family "Bacterial small subunit ribosomal RNA", at positions 524 to 776 of the family's 1533-position model. The record is from RNAcentral.
UACGGAGGGUCCAAGCGUUAUCCGGAAUCAUUGGGUUUAAAGGGUCCGUAGGCGGUUUUGUAAGUCAGUGGUGAAAGCCCAUCGCUCAACGGUGGAACGGCCAUUGAUACUGCAAGACUUGAAUUAUUGGGAAGUAACUAGAAUAUGUAGUGUAGCGGUGAAAUGCUUAGAGAUUACAUGGAAUACCAAUUGCGAAGGCAGGUUACUACCAAUAUAUUGACGCUGAUGGACGAAAGCGUGGGGAGAGAACAGG